GAUGAACGCUAGCGGGAGGCCUAACACAUGCAAGCCGAGCGGUAGAGUUUCUUCGGAAACUUGAGAGCGGCGCACGGGUGCGUAACACGUGUGCAACCUACCUUUAUCUGGGGGAUAGCCUUUCGAAAGGAAGAUUAAUACCCCAUAAUAUAAUGAUUGGCAUCAAUUAUUAUUGAAAACUCCGGUGGAUAGAGAUGGGCACGCGCAAGAUUAGAUAGUUGGUGAGGUAACGGCUCACCAAGUCAAUGAUCUUUAGGGGUCCUGAGAGGGAGAUCCCCCACACUGGUACUGAGACACGGACCAGACUCCUACGGGAGGCAGCAGUGAGGAAUAUUGGACAAUGGGUGAGAGCCUGAUCCAGCCAUCCCGCGUGAAGGAUGACGGUCCUAUGGAUUGUAAACUUCAUUUGUACAGGGAUAAACCUACCCUCGUGAGGGUAGCUGAAGGUACUGUACGAAUAAGCACCGGCUAACUCCGUG
RNAcentral lists this ribosomal RNA (479 nucleotides) under uncultured bacterium. RNAcentral's name for it is "partial 16S ribosomal RNA". It matches the Rfam family "Bacterial small subunit ribosomal RNA", at positions 28 to 507 of the family's 1533-position model. The record is from RNAcentral.